Molecule: transfer RNA, 75 nt
Filed under: Priestia megaterium
Lineage: Bacteria; Bacillati; Bacillota; Bacilli; Caryophanales; Bacillaceae
Description: Bacillus megaterium tRNA-Gly
Rfam family: tRNA
About the family: Transfer RNA (tRNA) molecules are approximately 80 nucleotides in length. Their secondary structure includes four short double-helical elements and three loops (D, anti-codon, and T loops).
Source: RNAcentral
GCGCUUCUGGUCUAAUGGCUAUGACUUCUGCCUUCCAAGCAGACAGUACGGGUUCGAUUCCCGUGAGGUGCUCCA